Molecule: unclassified non-coding RNA, 404 nt
Filed under: soil metagenome
Description: partial contains 5.8S ribosomal RNA, internal transcribed spacer 2, and large subunit ribosomal RNA
Rfam family: 5.8S ribosomal RNA (bases 1-122)
Source: RNAcentral
GAUGAAGAACGCAGCGAACUGCGAUACUUGGUGUGAAUUGCAGAAUCCCGUGAACCAUCGAGUCUUUGAACGCAAGUUGCGCCCGAAGCCAUUAGGCCGAGGGCACGUCUGCCUGGGCGUCACGCAUCGCGUCGCCCCCCACAAUUCUCCGUAAAGGGAACAUGUGUUUUGGGGGCGGAUAUUGGUCUCCCGUGCUCAUGGCGUGGUUGGCCGAAAUAGGAGUCCUUUCGAUGGACGCACGAACUAGUGGUGGUCGUAAAAACCCUCGUCUUUUGUUUCGUGCUGUUGGUCGCAAGGUAAACUCUUUAAAAACCCCAAUGUGUCGUCUCUUGACGACGCUUCGACCGCGACCCCAGGUCAGGCGGGACUACCCGCUGAGUUUAAGCAUAUCAAUAAGCGGAGGA